This 1313-nucleotide long non-coding RNA is filed under the name Manacus vitellinus (golden-collared manakin). RNAcentral's name for it is "lncRNA (ENSMVIG00005003834.1)". The record is from RNAcentral. Lineage: Eukaryota; Metazoa; Chordata; Aves; Passeriformes; Pipridae.
AAUAAUCAAUGAUGUUAAUCAUGCUGAAGAAUUAGAUUGCUUUGCUCCAGUGGUAUAAAGGUUUCUUAUUAUUGUGGCACAGUGGUUUUAUAAUGUCUUUAUCAGCACUAAGAAUUACGUGAACCGUUCUUCCUGUGCACGGGGGCUGUCUCGGUGUUGGGACUACUGAACAUCCCGCUGACUUUUGCUUGUUAAAGUGUGUUCAGGGUAGUGUUGUGACGGUUCUCAGCUUCUGACUCCGCUGUGACCGCUGGCCUCAGCUGCUCCAGAGCUCAGUGACUGGCUGGGUGCAGCAGCAGGCUGAGGAAACAUGGCAAAGCUGGGAAGAGAGAAACCAGGUUUAUUUGAUGAGUUUCUAACUUUAAGGUAGUUUACGUCAAAUAUAAUUAAGAAAACCCAAGUUAUUGGCAGGACAAAUCAUGCAGGAGACACUUUUGUAACCAAAACAACGUGCCGGGUUCUGGUCAUUUUUUUGGUAACAAAAGUGGGCCUGUCAGCUUCUGACUAAACUGGCAAUAAUGAACAAAUAACCCAAGGGCUGAGCACGGCUACAUGGUGUCUUUCACAAGGACAGAAAGCACAGUUUUUCUUAAAAAUAUUUUAUUUGGAUUUUUGACAUUUUACAUGGAUAUUCGUCAUCAAUCUGGAUUCAAAAUUUUCUCUUAAGGGAUCCAAAUGAAUGAGACACCUCAAAAAGGCACUUGUUACCUUUCACAGGUUCUCAGUAUUCUCAAAGGAGUAGCCACUGAUUAGCAGGACCUACACAAAUGAAGUAUAGACCAGUGUUUAAAGCUGCACUGGUUAUAUUUCCAUUGAUUAUGCAAUCCUUUCAAAUCUAUAGAAGACCUACAUUCAUUAACAAUUGCUGACUGAAGUCAAACAACCCCAGCAGACCAAACUUUUGGACGCCAGAAGUCAAACCACAGUCAGAGUUGCGAACAGUUCUUAAAGGGUUUCAUGCUGUUGGAGCAGAUGGAAACCGCCACAGCCACGACUUCUGCUCUGUGGGACGGAGCGCGUCGCUCUGCGCAGGGACAACAAUUACUAUCUCCUGUCACCACAGCUCACACGUGACCAGGAGGGCGGAUGCUGCAGCCCAGCAGGUGCAGGAGAUUCCACGAUGUGUUAUCUCUGGCCACGGACUGUCCUGUUUCCAGGAACACUCUUCUGAUGGACGAGAUAAGAGCCUGCCAGUAACUUCUCUUUGUGCAAAGGAGUUGGCAAGAAUGUCUUCAUCAAAAUGGCUUUGUAGUUGCAUUGGUUUCUAAGAAGUGCAGGAGGAAAUAUAGAUACAGCUGCAUGUUAUAUCCUAU